Carassius auratus (goldfish) is the source of this 466-nucleotide long non-coding RNA. RefSeq lists it as uncharacterized. The transcript is spliced from 2 exons. The record is from RefSeq and is a predicted model, not a curated record. NCBI's taxonomy places the organism in Eukaryota, Metazoa, Chordata, Actinopteri, Cypriniformes, Cyprinidae.
GGGCAUCGGUGUGUUUGUCCCCAGCAGAAGAGCAUAUUGAGUCCGGAUCAGUCUUCUUCGCUGUGUUCAGAAACAUUUCUCCAGCGCGCACGGACACCACUCUUGACUAGAUGCCAGUCUCAGCAUCUGCACCUGCUCACGCGUCACGCAGUGACGUAACACUGCCAAACAGGAAAAUGCCCAUAUAAGGAUAAGUACGUGUUGGGAUUCCAGCGCUGAGCGUGUGUCUGGACUGAAGCUGCUGCUGCUGCUUUGUGUUUUGUGCAGUGCAUUUGCGUUUUCCUCUGGAAAGGGCGUUUAGACUCCUGUCAGGAGCACAGAUGCGCAGACAGCAAAGCAUAGCUGGAACGGUUCCAUGUAGCCUACCCAGUGUAUAACCACAGAAUAUGGUAUUGAGACAUUUUUCCCAAUUAACCAAAAAUAUAGUCCAUGUGGAAUGGGAUUUGCGUUAUUUGUGAAGAACGAA